UGCCUCAUUUCAAUUUAAAGCUUAAAAAUUGUGGCUUUCACUUUAUUUGGCUGUUCAUUUUUUUUUUUUUGCGGCACACCAGCUGGUGGGGGAUUUAUAAGCUAUACAGGAGGGCUGACAUGGAUUUAAAUAUUGGCUGUCCCUCCAUCAUUUUGCUUUGAGGACACUGCAGACUGGGAAAAAGGUGGAGACUCCCACUAUAGCUGACUGGAAGGUGGGCUCCUGCCAGACAUGCAAGAGAGGCAUCACUUCAGCGGCUGCUGAGAGAUAAAGUAUAAAUAAACACAAGAUGUACAGGAAGCUGGAGUACGAGGCCUGUGGUGCUGAGAGAAAGCCUGUGAAUCCAUCUGACACUCAGGACCAUGACACUCAGCUCUUACUGUGGUGACCUGGGCUGGAUCCCUGGGAUCCCCAGGGCUGAAAGAGAACCAAUGUCCACCGAUGUCCAAACUGUCCUCUGACUUCAACAUGAUCGCUGUGGUGUGCACCCCCCCCCCCACACACACACACACACUGAAUUAAUCAAUAUAAUUAAAUGUUUAAAGAAAGAAAACACCUGAGACCAUCACCUUGGUGGCCAAGAAGAAUUGUGCCGGUCGGUGCCCAGCCAAGACAGCCAGGCAGGUGACAGAGGGGCCAUCUUGAUUGAGGAGGGGCCCUCCUAGGUCAUGGCUCCUGUUCCUGGAGUUCUUCCUUCUCUUUGCCCUGAAUGCCCUGUCUCCUUUAACCCUUUCUUCUCUCAUCUUCCUCCUGGAGGCCUUAAAGGGCCUACAUUCUCUCCUUUUCUAUCUCUCCCUAUCCACCAACCUACCGGAGUUCCCCAAAAGCCCUUUUUAAAGAACAGGAAGCGUUAACACGAUAAACACUGUCAUUGUCAACAACAGUAACUUAGCUAAGUCAGAAAGGUCGGGAAUAGCUGGGGAAUAGAAAACCUUGGGCCUGCACAUUCCGGUCUGAAGAAAGAUGGCAGCAGACUAAAGCAAGCCGGUGGGUAAGGGCUCCAGAGACCCUGCUGGCAAGUACUGCCUGCUCCCUUCCUGCGCCGGCAUCUUGAACCCCAGUUUAGAUCUGCUCAGUUCUUAUCCUAACCCCAACCUGACAACCUGGUUCAAGGCUUCCGAUUGCCUGCUGUCUGUGUCUCGAACCCUGAACUUGCUGCCUGGCAAGAAAGUGUGGGGACAAUUCUGUUCCAGUCUUCCUGCCCUGAAAAUUCAAUUUGGGCCUGGCAGGGAACCCCUCCUGCCCCUCAACAGGGGCAAAGCAGCUGUGAAGCGUUGGAGGAGUCACCUCUCCCAACAGCACCCACAGCUCUCCCAGGAACAUCUGGGAUCUGUCCUUUCUGUUUUCCUUAAGUGGCCUGUGACAGUUCUGUCCCCCUUUCUUCCAUCAAUUCUUCACUAAUAAUACAAUCGCCCGGAUAUAAGCAACUGUCACAGGUCCGAUUUGUACACACACUGUCUGCAGUCCUUGACAGCAUCCCAAUUUGGUAAGGAUAAUCUCCAAGGACAGAUAAAGAAAAGUCACUUCCUCAAAGCCCUGCAGCUAAGGCACAAAGACAGAUAAUACUCGUUCCGGGUCUGCCUACUGAGUGAGUACUCCCUCUGUCCAUUGCCUGCGGCCCACUAGGCAGCGGGCUGGGCAGCGGCCUGGGCAGCGGCGCAGUGUCAUUCACUGAGCAUGCGCCAUAUACGUAGGGCGCGAUGGACUAAGUGUCCACUAGAGACUGGAGUCCCAGACCCUCCCCUUACGGGAACAAACCACUGAGGGAGACAAAAAACCCCACAGGAAGCCGAGGGAAAGCUGCCUAGGCUGUAAGGAGAGAAUAGACCCGUGUGAUCUGGACUUUGGAACAGGGCGGGAAUGCUGGGCAGGACAGUGAAUCGCUGAAAGGGAAGACCCCCCUCACAAGAGGAGAAGGCUAGAAACAGCCCCAAUGUCUGAGCAACUCCCUGAGGGCAUCCAGAAGCUGAGAUGGGAACCCUUUUAGGGGAGGACAGAAAAGCAGUCUGAUGUUGGGAGGCAGAGAGAGGAGACCCUUCUGACUGUGCUGCUCCCCAUGUGUGCAGGCGUGCAUGGUGUGCAAGUGCAUAUGUGUCUGCAUGCAUAUGUGAGUGUGUGUGUGUGUGUGUGUGUAUGACAAAAGUGUUCUUAAAGUUCCCCAAAAGUUAGUUUGGCAAACUUAAAAUUAACUACAUCUAGAAACAGUGGCCAUUAGUAGGAUGAAAAUAAAUAUUGAGAGUUGGUUGAAGCUAAUUUUGCUCCAGUCACCUUGGCUUGAACAAGGUGAAAGGAUUGUAAUUCAGAUUUUAGAAAAAUUAGUCAGGAGAUGGGGGAAGUUCAGUUUUGGUGGCCCGAGAAGGCACAGGUCUCACCACUGAUUCCCAUUAUGAUAAGAGGGUUUUCCCCCUUUCUUUUAAAAUCACCGCCUGAGAUAAAGAACUUUUAGGGGACCUUCCAAAGUCAGUGCUGUGUAAGAGGGCAGUUUAAAGAAAUAAGAUUCCACCCAAGGCCCAAGCCCUUGGCUUACCUGAACUUCCAAUGCUGAGGCAAAGAAGUGGGCCCCACAGCCAGAAGCACGCCUCCCAGAAGCCAGGAUGCAUCGCCGGGCUGGAGUCGUGGAGUCAGCAUGAAGGAGAGUCCUAAAGCCUGGGAUGUCACAUAGUCCAGCCUCCCAGCAAACACGCAACACCCACUGGGACUUAGUAAUCGUUAACUGGCUCCGUGGCUUGUAAAAUAAAUAAAUAAAUCUUCCUAUUUGUUUAA
Molecule: long non-coding RNA, 2763 nt
Organism: Apodemus sylvaticus (European woodmouse)
Lineage: Eukaryota; Metazoa; Chordata; Mammalia; Rodentia; Muridae
Exons: 2
Source: RefSeq, a predicted model, not a curated record